UCAGUGACUGACAAUAAUGACAUUGUUUUUAAAGUACACCAUAAACAUUGAGAUCCAACUGGUGACAGACAUUUAUUGCAAAGUUUAUAACUUGGUCUCUGCAAACCACACUAUCUGAGCACUAUCAUAAGUUCAAAUUGUAUCACCCCCAAAUGCCCCAGAUAUUUACUUCUAGUUAUUAUUCUCUGUUCCCCUUUUACAGUAUAGAAACAGGUCAACCAGCUUCCUUCCUCACUGAGCUCCGCAGCUGUAAAAAAAAAAAAAACUAAAUGCAAUUUUUCAA
Non-coding RNA from Pelobates cultripes (western spadefoot toad), 283 nucleotides. The record is from the annotation of a GenBank genome assembly. NCBI's taxonomy places the organism in Eukaryota, Metazoa, Chordata, Amphibia, Anura, Pelobatidae.